AUGGGCGCCGCUCUCGUUCCUCUCCUCGUCUACGUAGUGCUCGUGGUGGUGGCGGCGGCGCGUGCCCCGGCGGCGUCCGCGGCGCCGCGGGCCUUCUUCGUCUUCGGCGACUCCCUCGUCGACAACGGCAACAACAACUACCUCCUCACCACCGCGCGCGCCGACGCGCCGCCCUACGGCAUCGACUUCCCGUCGCACCGCGCCACGGGCCGCUUCUCCAACGGCCUCAACAUCCCCGACAUCAUCAGUGAGCACCUCGGGGCGGAGCCUGCGCUGCCGUACCUGAGCCCGGAGCUCCGAGGGGCGAAGCUGCUCGUGGGCGCCAACUUCGCGUCGGCCGGCGUCGGGAUCCUCAACGACACGGGAGUGCAGUUUGUGAACAUAAUUAGGAUGGGGGAUCAGCUGCGUUACUUCGGGGAGUACCAGCGCAAGCUGAGGGCCUUCGCCGGCGAGGAGCAGGCGGCGAGGCUCGUCAACGGCGCGCUCGUGCUCAUCACGCUGGGAGGCAACGACUUCGUCAACAACUACUACCUGGUGCCCAUGUCCAUGAGGUCUCGCCAGUACGCUCUCCCGGGCUACGUAAGCUUCAUCAUCUCCGGGUACAGGAAAAUCCUCGCGAGGCUGUACGAGCUGGGGGCGCGGCGCGUGAUCGUGACGGGGACAGGGCCGCUGGGGUGCGUGCCGGCGGAGCUGGCGCAGCACAGCAGCAACGGCGAGUGCGCGGCGGAGCUGAACCGCGCCGUGGACCUCUUCAACCCGCAGCUGGUGGACAUGGUGCGCGGCCUCAACCGCGACGCCGGCGCCGACGUCUUCGUCUCCGCCAACGCCUACCGCGCCAACUUCGACUACCUCACCAACCCGCAGAGCUACGGGUUCACGAACGUGAAGGUGGCGUGCUGUGGGCAGGGGCCGUACAACGGGAUCGGUCUGUGCACGGCGGCGUCCAACGUGUGCGCCAACCGGGAGGUGUUCGCCUUCUGGGACGCCUUCCACCCCACAGAGCGGGCCAACCGGAUCAUCGUCGGCCAGUUCAUGCAUGGGUCCACCGACUACAUGCACCCCAUGAACCUCAGCACCAUACUCGCCAUGGACCAGCUGCAGGAGGGUUCUCUUUAG
This 1116-nucleotide ribosomal RNA is filed under the name Triticum aestivum (bread wheat). RNAcentral's name for it is "partial small subunit ribosomal RNA". The record is from RNAcentral. Lineage: Eukaryota; Viridiplantae; Streptophyta; Magnoliopsida; Poales; Poaceae.